AUGCUCGGGCGGAAGGUCGAGGCGCUGCAGGCGCAGGUGUACGGGCUGGAGCUCCGCAACCGCUGCUUCGAGGCCAUGGCCGCCUGGGAGGCCGAGCGCAAGGCCGGCGUCGCCGAGAUCGAGCGGCUCCGCGCCGAGAACCGGCGCCUCGCCGCGGAGGCCGCCCAGGCUGCGGCAUCGUCGAGGAGGAAGCGUGGGGGCGGCAAGGGCGGCGGGAGUGGGUGGUGGUGGCUGGCCAGUGUGCGGCUGGCGGCGGAGUGGACGCCGUGCGCGCCGUCGUCGGUGACGGUGAGGAAGGUCGGUGAGCAGAUGAAGGGCGGCAAGUACAACGGCGGCUGCUUCUGCCUGUAG
This 351-nucleotide ribosomal RNA is filed under the name Triticum aestivum (bread wheat). Its description in RNAcentral is "partial small subunit ribosomal RNA". The record is from RNAcentral. Lineage: Eukaryota; Viridiplantae; Streptophyta; Magnoliopsida; Poales; Poaceae.